UACGGGGGGGGCAAGCGUUGUUCGGAAUUACUGGGCGUAAAGGGCGCGUAGGCGGGCGAUCAAGUCAGAGGUGAAAUCCCACGGCUCAACCGUGGAAGUGCCCCUGAUACUGGUUGUCUCGAGGGAGAUAGGGGCGUGCGGAACUUUUGGUGGAGCGGUGAAAUGCGUAGAUAUCAAAAGGAACACCGGUGGCGAAAGCGGCGCGCUGGAUCCCUACUGACGCUGAGGCGCGAAAGCCAGGGGAGCAAACGGG
This 253-nucleotide ribosomal RNA is filed under the name uncultured bacterium. Its description in RNAcentral is "partial 16S ribosomal RNA". It matches the Rfam family "Bacterial small subunit ribosomal RNA", at positions 524 to 776 of the family's 1533-position model. The record is from RNAcentral.